This 252-nucleotide ribosomal RNA is filed under the name uncultured bacterium. RNAcentral describes it as "partial 16S ribosomal RNA". It matches the Rfam family "Bacterial small subunit ribosomal RNA", at positions 335 to 604 of the family's 1533-position model. The record is from RNAcentral.
UUGCCUACGGGAGGCAGCAGUGGGGAAUAUUGCACAAUGGGGGAAACCCUGAUGCAGCAACGCCGCGUGAGUGAAGAAGUAUUUCGGUAUGUAAAGCUCUAUCAGCAGGGAAGAGAAUGACGGUACCUGACUAAGAAGCCCCGGCUAACUACGUGCCAGCAGCCGCGGUAAUACGUAGGGGGCAAGCGUUAUCCGGAUUUACUGGGUGUAAAGGGAGCGUAGACGGCAGAGCAAGUCUGAAGUGAAAGCCCG